AUUGAACGCUGGCGGCAGGCCUAACACAUGCAAGUCGAGCGGAUGAGAAGAGCUUGCUCUUCGAUUCAGCGGCGGACGGGUGAGUAAUGCCUAGGAAUCUGCCUGGUAGUGGGGGACAACGUUUCGAAAGGAACGCUAAUACCGCAUACGUCCUACGGGAGAAAGCAGGGGACCUUCGGGCCUUGCGCUAUCAGAUGAGCCUAGGUCGGAUUAGCUAGUUGGUGAGGUAAUGGCUCACCAAGGCGACGAUCCGUAACUGGUCUGAGAGGAUGAUCAGUCACACUGGAACUGAGACACGGUCCAGNCUCCUACGGGAGGCAGCAGUGGGGAAUAUUGGACAAUGGGCGAAAGCCUGAUCCAGCCAUGCCGCGUGUGUGNAGAAGGUCUUCGGAUUGUAAAGCACUUUAAGUUGGGAGGAAGGGCAUUAACCUAAUACGUUGGUGUUUUNACGNUNCCGACAGNAUAANCACCNNCUANCUCUNUNC
This 485-nucleotide ribosomal RNA is filed under the name uncultured Pseudomonas sp. RNAcentral's name for it is "partial 16S ribosomal RNA". It matches the Rfam family "Bacterial small subunit ribosomal RNA", at positions 30 to 508 of the family's 1533-position model. The record is from RNAcentral. Lineage: Bacteria; Pseudomonadati; Pseudomonadota; Gammaproteobacteria; Pseudomonadales; Pseudomonadaceae.